This is a long non-coding RNA of Cyprinodon tularosa, 255 nucleotides long. RefSeq lists it as uncharacterized. Lineage: Eukaryota; Metazoa; Chordata; Actinopteri; Cyprinodontiformes; Cyprinodontidae. The transcript is spliced from 4 exons. The record is from RefSeq and is a predicted model, not a curated record.
AUACACAUCUUCAAUCUGUAUGUGGUGCCCCUGUGGAAGGCAGAUGUGGAUCCUUUCUGUUCACUGCCUGACCUGACAACGAAAGACCUUGUAGUUUUCCCAGCAUGGAGCCAACAACAGGACGCUGCUGAUCACUACCUCCUCUGCACGCAUUGCAGCCUUUAUUGAUCCAGGGCCAUGGUCUGAGAAGACAGGGAGAGACCUUGAACAUUUUCCUCUUCAGUCCAACGGACAUGACUGUGGGAUCUUCAUGUU